UAGCGGAACUCCUACGGGAGGCAGCAGUGGGGAAUUUUGGACAAUGGGCGCAAGCCUGAUCCAGCAAUGCCGCGUGAGUGAAGAAGGCCUUCGGGUUGUAAAGCUCUUUUGUCAGGGAAGAAACGGUUGGGGCUAAUAUCCCCGGCUAAUGACGGUACCUGAAGAAUAAGCACCGGCUAACUACGUGCCAGCAGCCGCGGUAGUACGUAGGGUGCAAGCGUUAAUCGGAAUUACUGGGCGUAAAGCGUGCGCAGGCGGUUUUGUAAGUCUGUCGUGAAAGCCCCGGGCUUAACCUGGGAAUUGCGAUGGAGACUGCAAGGCUUGAAUCUGGCAGAGGGGGGUAGAAUUCCACGUGUAGCAGUGAAAUGCGUAGAGAUGUGGAGGAACACCGAUGGCGAAGGCAGCCCCCUGGGUCAAGAUUGACGCCCAUGCACGAAAGCGUGGGGAGCAAACAGGAUUAGAGACCCUUGUAGUCCACUUAUG
RNAcentral lists this ribosomal RNA (483 nucleotides) under uncultured bacterium. RNAcentral describes it as "bacterial SSU rRNA". It matches the Rfam family "Bacterial small subunit ribosomal RNA", at positions 328 to 803 of the family's 1533-position model. The record is from RNAcentral.